GUGCCAGCCGCCGCGGUAACACCGGCAGCCCGAGUGAUGUCCGAUAUUAUUGGGCCUAAAGCGUCCGUAGCUGGCCGCGCAAGUUCGUCGGGAAAUCCACUCGCUUAACGAGUGGGCGUCCGGCGAAAACUGUGCGGCUUGGGACCGGAAGAUCCGAGGGGUACGUCUGGGGUAGGAGUGAAAUCCCGUAAUCCUGGACGGACCACCGAUGGCGAAAGCACCGCGGAAGGACGGAUCCGACAGUGAGGGACGAAAGCGAGGGUCUCGAACCGGAUUAGAAACCGUGUAGUCC
This 292-nucleotide ribosomal RNA is filed under the name uncultured bacterium. Its description in RNAcentral is "partial 16S ribosomal RNA". It matches the Rfam family "Archaeal small subunit ribosomal RNA", at positions 455 to 747 of the family's 1478-position model. The record is from RNAcentral.